UUUUAGCCCAGAUAGUAGUGGAAAGCUUUUUGAAAGCUGUUUUUUGAUUUUAUAAUUAGGGAAAAGCGACCAAAGGAAGCUUUUGCAAUAAUUGUAUAAAAUCUAAACAGAUAAAAAAACUUGCAACGAAAAGCUGGAUUAGCU
RNAcentral lists this small RNA (144 nucleotides) under Flavobacterium tiangeerense. RNAcentral's name for it is "Flavo-1 RNA". It matches the Rfam family "Flavo-1 RNA". The record is from RNAcentral. Lineage: Bacteria; Pseudomonadati; Bacteroidota; Flavobacteriia; Flavobacteriales; Flavobacteriaceae.